GCCUGGGUGGCUCAGUCGGUUGAGCGUCUGACUUCUGCUCAGGUCAUGAUCUCGCAGUUCGUGAGUUCAAGCCCUGUGUCAGGCU
Molecule: transfer RNA, 85 nt
Filed under: Felis catus (domestic cat)
Lineage: Eukaryota; Metazoa; Chordata; Mammalia; Carnivora; Felidae
Rfam family: tRNA
About the family: Transfer RNA (tRNA) molecules are approximately 80 nucleotides in length. Their secondary structure includes four short double-helical elements and three loops (D, anti-codon, and T loops).
Source: Rfam by way of RNAcentral